RNAcentral lists this ribosomal RNA (617 nucleotides) under Lactococcus lactis. RNAcentral describes it as "bacterial SSU rRNA". It matches the Rfam family "Bacterial small subunit ribosomal RNA", at positions 75 to 678 of the family's 1533-position model. Lineage: Bacteria; Bacillati; Bacillota; Bacilli; Lactobacillales; Streptococcaceae. The record is from RNAcentral.
GGUACUUGUACCGACUGGAUGAGCAGCGAACGGGUGAGUAACGCGUGGGGAAUCUGCCUUUGAGCGGGGGACAACAUUUGGAAACGAAUGCUAAUACCGCAUAAAAACUUUAAACACAAGUUUUAAGUUUGAAAGAUGCAAUUGCAUCACUCAAAGAUGAUCCCGCGUUGUAUUAGCUAGUUGGUGAGGUAAAGGCUCACCAAGGCGAUGAUACAUAGCCGACCUGAGAGGGUGAUCGGCCACAUUGGGACUGAGACACGGCCCAAACUCCUACGGGAGGCAGCAGUAGGGAAUCUUCGGCAAUGGACGAAAGUCUGACCGAGCAACGCCGCGUGAGUGAAGAAGGUUUUCGGAUCGUAAAACUCUGUUGGUAGAGAAGAACGUUGGUGAGAGUGGAAAGCUCAUCAAGUGACGGUAACUACCCAGAAAGGGACGGCUAACUACGUGCCAGCAGCCGCGGUAAUACGUAGGUCCCGAGCGUUGUCCGGAUUUAUUGGGCGUAAAGCGAGCGCAGGUGGUUUAUUAAGUCUGGUGUAAAAGGCAGUGGCUCAACCAUUGUAUGCAUUGGAAACUGGUAGACUUGAGUGCAGGAGAGGAGAGUGGAAUUCCAUGUGGUA